GACGAACGCUGGCGGCGUGCCUAAUACAUGCAAGUCGAACGGACCUUGCUUUAACGGAUUGGAGUACUUGUACAAAGAGAAGAUAGAGCGCUGGUUAGUGGCGAACGGGUGAGUAACACGUAGGUAACCUGGCAAUAAGACGAGGACAACUAUUGGAAACGAUAGCUAAUACUGGAUGUGGUGUGAGGAAGGCAUCUUCUUCAUAUUAAAGGAGCUACGGCUUCACUUAUUGAUGGACCUGCGGCGCAUUAGCUAGUUGGUAAGGUAGAGGCUUACCAAGACAAUGAUGCAUAGCCGAGUUGAGAGACUGACCGGCCACAUUGGGACUGAGACACGGCCCAAACUCCUACGGGAGGCUGCAGUAGGGAAUCUUCCACAAUGGGCGCAAGCCUGAUGGAGCAACGCCGCGUGUGUGAUGAAGGCUUUCGGGUCGUAAAGCACUGUUGUAUGGGAAGAACGGGUUUAAGAGGAAAUGCUUAAGCAGUGACGGUACCAUACCAGAAAGGGACGGCUAAAUACGUGCCAGCCGCCG
Molecule: ribosomal RNA, 532 nt
Filed under: uncultured bacterium
Lineage: Bacteria
Description: bacterial SSU rRNA
Rfam family: Bacterial small subunit ribosomal RNA
Source: RNAcentral